AUGCCCCUGCUCCACCUCACUCCUCCUUCGAAUUCGGCCGUCGAAGUGCUCGAGGAGGCGGUCGAGCUUGGCAUGCUCGCCGGUGACGCCGGCCCCUUACCGCACACGCCGGCUGCCGACCUCUUAGGCGGGCGGCGCACGCCGACCCCAGGAAGAGAGAAGUUCCCGUCCCCAUGGAGAAGCUGUCCACGGAUCCAAAUCUGGAAGCAGAAAGAAAAGAACCUGAUCUUGGAUUUCUUCACUUGCGUUAUUCAGAGUCAUCCUAAUCCACCAUACGUUCCCUUAUUCAACUGGAUGACCGCAGAGACGGGGGAAGGCGGGGUGGUGUUGUGCUGGUGGCCACCGGGAGCUUCAACCUUCCCACCUACAUGCACAGGCAUGUUUGAGGUUGCGAAGGAUGAGUUGCAGCAGCGAGGGUAG
Molecule: ribosomal RNA, 420 nt
Filed under: Triticum aestivum (bread wheat)
Lineage: Eukaryota; Viridiplantae; Streptophyta; Magnoliopsida; Poales; Poaceae
Description: partial small subunit ribosomal RNA
Source: RNAcentral